RNAcentral lists this ribosomal RNA (483 nucleotides) under uncultured bacterium. RNAcentral's name for it is "partial 16S ribosomal RNA". It matches the Rfam family "Bacterial small subunit ribosomal RNA", at positions 30 to 507 of the family's 1533-position model. The record is from RNAcentral.
AUUGAACGCUGGCGGCAUGCUUUACACAUGCAAGUCGAACGGCAGCACGGGCUUCGGCCUGGUGGCGAGUGGCGAACGGGUGAGUAAUAUAUCGGAACGUACCCAGAAGUGGGGGAUAACGUAGCGAAAGUUACGCUAAUACCGCAUACGAUCUAUGGAUGAAAGCAGGGGACCGCAAGGCCUUGUGCUCCUGGAGCGGCCGAUAUCUGAUUAGCUAGUUGGUGAGGUAAAGGCUCACCAAGGCGACGAUCAGUAGCUGGUCUGAGAGGACGACCAGCCACACUCGAACUGAGACACGGUCCAGACUCCUACGGGAGGCAGCAGUGGGGAAUUUUGGACAAUGGGCGCAAGCCUGAUCCAGCAAUGCCGCGUGAGUGAAGAAGGCCUUCGGUUGUAAAGCUCUUUUGUCAGGGAAGAAACGGUAGAGGCUAAUAUCCUUUGCUAAUGACGGUACCUGAAGAAUAAGCACCGGCUAACUACGUG